This 2331-nucleotide unclassified non-coding RNA is filed under the name Leishmania donovani. Its description in RNAcentral is "gene:LdHU3.18.0270(CDS-product:60S_ribosomal_prot ein_L7_putative)". Lineage: Eukaryota; Euglenozoa; Kinetoplastea; Trypanosomatida; Trypanosomatidae. The record is from RNAcentral.
CUGAGCAGAACACUUCCGACCGCUCUCUCACGCCGGCGUGACACACGCGCUUUCUCGAGUUCGUAUCGUCUCCCUCACCGCCUUACUCCCGGACGCCUGCACUGCACCGCUUCUCCUCUUCCUUUAUCGUUUCUUUGUGCGUCCACGCAAGCCCUUUCCACGCACGUAGGAGCACUCACCAACUCUUUUCCCUUUCACGGCCAUCAUGGGAAAGAACCCGCCGAAGUGGCUGCCGGGCGAGCGCGUGAAGGAGACCAUUCUUCUGCAGCGCAAGUCCGUUGAGCAGCUGCGUGCUGAUCGCGUGCUGCGUAAGGAUAAGCUGCAGGAGCGCCGUGAGCGCCACAAGAACAAGUUAGACGCGAAGCGCAAGCGCAAGCUUUCGACGAAGAAGUUUAUCUCCGCUCAGACGAUCCUGAAGCACGCGCAGCGCAAGGAGAAUCAAGGACGCAAGUUCCAGAAGAUCGGCGAGAAGGUCGAGGGCCGCCGCCGCCAUGUGAAUUUCGGGGAACUGAAGAAGCGGCUGCGUGAGAGCCCGGUACGGCUCGUGGUGCGCGCGAAGGGGUCGCAGAUCCCGCCGGAGGUGGCGGCGGCCUUCAGAAAGCUGGGCCUUCUCAAGAUCUACUCGGCACGCCUGAUCAGCCUGACGCCACGCACGGAGAAGCUCAUUGAGCAGUUGACACCCUUCUCGAUUGUUGGCCAGCCGGACAGGGCUCAGGUGGAGUCGCUCCUUCGCACCCGCGGCUCCUUGUACAACGAGGAGACGCAGACGAAGCGGCUCAUCAGCGGCAACCUGCUGCUGGAGCAGGCACUGGGCCAGUACAACGUGCUGUGCAUUGAAGAUCUUGUAGAGACCAUUGCCACGCAUGGCGAACACGUAGAGGAAGUUCUCCGCCACAUAGCGCCUUUUGACUUCCACCCGCCUCGCCAGCUCUUCAUCGAGCGCCACCGUUCCGUUCACCAGAAGCUGGAGAUCGUCAACAAGCACUCCUUCGCCGCGUACCUAUCAGACCAGCUGCAGCAGAUCACGGUCGAGAAGCAGCGCAAGACUGCUGCUGCGGCGAAGAAGUCCACGACGGUGGUUGUGAAGCGCAAGGCCGCCUAAAGCAGUUGGAUUGUACAGGAUGCCAGAAAGGAGGCGGGCGGAGAGAGAAGCGAAAUGGGGAGGCUGUGGUGGACGUUGCUACGAUGCAACGCGUGAUGAUACCCCCUCCCCACUCCAUUGUGUAUGUGUAAGUGCGCGAAGCGGCUCCAGCUCUUCAUGCUGUAUGUCUGGCGCGCCGGCCUAUCGCCGUAUGGAUGGGCCUGGGGUGUGGCUCUGUGGAGGGUGACCAACCUGGCCUACUAAACAUUGCUGUAGCGCUUGUUGCUGUGCCUUGUCGGCACGUUGAGGUGCCGUUAACGAACAGCAUGCCAUCGGCGGUUUCGGAUACGCGGACGAAUCUGCUUUCGUCGUUCUUUGGUGGAAGCCGUCUUUGCGGCGCGACGAUGAAAGGGGCCACGCGAACGGACAUGUGCGGCGCUGCUCUGCCCCUCUUCUUCCGCCGUUUUCUUUGCUUGGGUUUGUGUGUUGUGUGGGCCGUGUCGGCAUCCCCUCUUUCUUUGUCCUCUGCCUAGUAAGUUUCAUAACGGAUACGACUCCCACAACGACGAAUAAUUGUCUGCACGGCACAGACAGCGCGUGUGCACCACCCGACACCACCACCAACACCGUCAUGAAGUCGCGGCUGCCUGAGCUCAAUAGGCUUGACCAUGUGUGUGAAGGCGAUAGAGGAGGGGGGCUGUUUUAGUGGCGCGUAUCUCAGCAGGAGCUGCUCUACCCUGAGCGUGUUUAUCGCUGAGUUAUAGCGUCAUCUACCGGUGUGCCGGUGGUGGUGUUGGACGCGGCGGAGGCGAGAGAGAAGACAGAGGGACCAAAGCUAUCCUAAUUCGGCUGCGCCUGCUCUCUCUCUGUGCGUGCACUGUGACUGCGUGUGUGUGUAUGCCUGUGCUAGCGUGUCUCUCCCGCGUUGACCCUACACCCCGUCACGUACAUCGCACACAUGUCGGACGCCUGUCGAUUGUUAAUGGUUGCUAACACACGUGCCACUUGCGCUUGCAUGCAGAUAAACCUACACGGAAAGAUGACAUAACAGGCGGGGCUCUCAGCAUCGGCGUGCUGAAGAGAGCAUGCGUUGCGGUGGAGGCGUGUUGGGUCCACGUCUGGGAGAGCGAGAGAGCGCGCGCGAGAGAGGAGGAGCUUAUCACUGUGCCAGGCGAGGAGAGAGCGAGAGAGGGGCGGUAGCAAAAGAGGGAGGGGCGGCGAUGUGAGUGAGAGCUGGGGGAGCGUGGUGA